UUAAGCGACUAAGCGUACACGGUGGAUGCCCUGGCAGUCAGAGGCGAUGAAGGACGUGCUAAUCUGCGAUAAGCGUCGGUAAGGUGAUAUGAACCGUUAUAACCGGCGAUUUCCGAAUGGGGAAACCCAGUGUGUUUCGACACACUAUCAUUAACUGAAUCCAUAGGUUAAUGAGGCGAACCGGGGGAACUGAAACAUCUAAGUACCCCGAGGAAAAGAAAUCAACCGAGAUUCCCCCAGUAGCGGCGAGCGAACGGGGAGGAGCCCAGAGCCUGAAUCAGUGUGUGUGUUAGUGGAAGCGUCUGGAAAGGCGCGCGAUACAGGGUGACAGCCCCGUACACAAAAAUGCACAUGCUGUGAGCUCGAUGAGUAGGGCGGGACACGUGGUAUCCUGUCUGAAUAUGGGGGGACCAUCCUCCAAGGCUAAAUACUCCUGACUGACCGAUAGUGAACCAGUACCGUGAGGGAAAGGCGAAAAGAACCCCGGCGAGGGGAGUGAAAAAGAACCUGAAACCGUGUACGUACAAGCAGUGGGAGCACGCUUAGGCGUGUGACUGCGUACCUUUUGUAUAAUGGGUCAGCGACUUAUAUUCUGUAGCAAGGUUAACCGAAUAGGGGAGCCGAAGGGAAACCGAGUCUUAACUGGGCGUUAAGUUGCAGGGUAUAGACCCGAAACCCGGUGAUCUAGCCAUGGGCAGGUUGAAGGUUGGGUAACACUAACUGGAGGACCGAACCGACUAAUGUUGAAAAAUUAGCGGAUGACUUGUGGCUGGGGGUGAAAGGCCAAUCAAACCGGGAGAUAGCUGGUUCUCCCCGAAAGCUAUUUAGGUAGCGCCUCGUGAAUUCAUCUCCGGGGGUAGAGCACUGUUUCGGCAAGGGGGUCAUCCCGACUUACCAACCCGAUGCAAACUGCGAAUACCGGAGAAUGUUAUCACGGGAGACACACGGCGGGUGCUAACGUCCGUCGUGAAGAGGGAAACAACCCAGACCGCCAGCUAAGGUCCCAAAGUCAUGGUUAAGUGGGAAACGAUGUGGGAAGGCCCAGACAGCCAGGAUGUUGGCUUAGAAGCAGCCAUCAUUUAAAGAAAGCGUAAUAGCUCACUGGUCGAGUCGGCCUGCGCGGAAGAUGUAACGGGGCUAAACCAUGCACCGAAGCUGCGGCAGCGACGCUUAUGCGUUGUUGGGUAGGGGAGCGUUCUGUAAGCCUGUGAAGGUGUACUGUGAGGUAUGCUGGAGGUAUCAGAAGUGCGAAUGCUGACAUAAGUAACGAUAAAGCGGGUGAAAAGCCCGCUCGCCGGAAGACCAAGGGUUCCUGUCCAACGUUAAUCGGGGCAGGGUGAGUCGACCCCUAAGGCGAGGCCGAAAGGCGUAGUCGAUGGGAAACAGGUUAAUAUUCCUGUACUUGGUGUUACUGCGAAGGGGGGACGGAGAAGGCUAUGUUGGCCGGGCGACGGUUGUCCCGGUUUAAGCGUGUAGGCUGGUUUUCCAGGCAAAUCCGGAAAAUCAAGGCUGAGGCGUGAUGACGAGGCACUACGGUGCUGAAGCAACAAAUGCCCUGCUUCCAGGAAAAGCCUCUAAGCAUCAGGUAACAUCAAAUCGUACCCCAAACCGACACAGGUGGUCAGGUAGAGAAUACCAAGGCGCUUGAGAGAACUCGGGUGAAGGAACUAGGCAAAAUGGUGCCGUAACUUCGGGAGAAGGCACGCUGAUAUGUAGGUGAAGCGACUCGCUGGUGGAGCUGAAAUCAGUCGAAGAUACCAGCUGGCUGCAACUGUUUAUUAAAAACACAGCACUGUGCAAACACGAAAGUGGACGUAUACGGUGUGACGCCUGCCCGGUGCCGGAAGGUUAAUUGAUGGGGUUAGCGCAAGCGAAGCUCUUGAUCGAAGCCCCGGUAAACGGCGGCCGUAACUAUAACGGUCCUAAGGUAGCGAAAUUCCUUGUCGGGUAAGUUCCGACCUGCACGAAUGGCGUAAUGAUGGCCAGGCUGUCUCCACCCGAGACUCAGUGAAAUUGAACUCGCUGUGAAGAUGCAGUGUACCCGCGGCAAGACGGAAAGACCCCGUGAACCUUUACUAUAGCUUGACACUGAACAUUGAGCCUUGAUGUGUAGGAUAGGUGGGAGGCUUUGAAGUGUGGACGCCAGUCUGCAUGGAGCCGACCUUGAAAUACCACCCUUUAAUGUUUGAUGUUCUAACGUUGACCCGUAAUCCGGGUUGCGGACAGUGUCUGGUGGGUAGUUUGACUGGGGCGGUCUCCUCCUAAAGAGUAACGGAGGAGCACGAAGGUUGGCUAAUCCUGGUCGGACAUCAGGAGGUUAGUGCAAUGGCAUAAGCCAGCUUGACUGCGAGCGUGACGGCGCGAGCAGGUGCGAAAGCAGGUCAUAGUGAUCCGGUGGUUCUGAAUGGAAGGGCCAUCGCUCAACGGAUAAAAGGUACUCCGGGGAUAACAGGCUGAUACCGCCCAAGAGUUCAUAUCGACGGCGGUGUUUGGCACCUCGAUGUCGGCUCAUCACAUCCUGGGGCUGAAGUAGGUCCCAAGGGUAUGGCUGUUCGCCAUUUAAAGUGGUACGCGAGCUGGGUUUAGAACGUCGUGAGACAGUUCGGUCCCUAUCUGCCGUGGGCGCUGGAGAACUGAGGGGGGCUGCUCCUAGUACGAGAGGACCGGAGUGGACGCAUCACUGGUGUUCGGGUUGUCAUGCCAAUGGCACUGCCCGGUAGCUAAAUGCGGAAGAGAUAAGUGCUGAAAGCAUCUAAGCACGAAACUUGCCCCGAGAUGAGUUCUCCCUGACCCUUUAAGGGUCCUGAAGGAACGUUGAAGACGACGACGUUGAUAGGCCGGGUGUGUAAGCGCAGCGAUGCGUUGAGCUAACCGGUACUAAUGAACCGUGAGGCUUAACCUU
Molecule: ribosomal RNA, 2902 nt
Filed under: Escherichia coli HVH 164 (4-5953081)
Lineage: Bacteria; Pseudomonadati; Pseudomonadota; Gammaproteobacteria; Enterobacterales; Enterobacteriaceae
Description: bacterial LSU rRNA
Rfam family: Bacterial large subunit ribosomal RNA
Source: RNAcentral